CCAGGUCAGGCGGGAUUACCC
RNAcentral lists this non-coding RNA (21 nucleotides) under Arabidopsis thaliana (thale cress). Lineage: Eukaryota; Viridiplantae; Streptophyta; Magnoliopsida; Brassicales; Brassicaceae. The record is from RNAcentral.